RNAcentral lists this non-coding RNA (23 nucleotides) under Arabidopsis thaliana (thale cress). Lineage: Eukaryota; Viridiplantae; Streptophyta; Magnoliopsida; Brassicales; Brassicaceae. The record is from RNAcentral.
UCUACCUUUCACCUGUUAGCCUC